UGGGCAGUAUCCAUUUGGAACUGCACCUGGUUUUAAAACGUGAAAACUAAAUGGUUUCUGCCUAGAUCCGUGUAACGGACCGGGACAGAGGG
Molecule: non-coding RNA, 92 nt
Filed under: Neobacillus massiliamazoniensis
Lineage: Bacteria; Bacillati; Bacillota; Bacilli; Caryophanales; Bacillaceae
Description: Bacillus sp. LF1 pan
Rfam family: pan motif
Source: RNAcentral